UUUUUUUUUUUUGGGGGGGGGGGGUGUUUUUCCCCAGCGCUUUUAUUAAUCACGUUGAUGCAUUUCCCCUUUGAUUUACAAGUGCGUGCGUGCGGCGUUUAUUUAUUCCCAGUCAAAUGGUCUCUGAAUCCUUCUUAACAAGAAGCGCUAGGACUGGAAACGAGACAACGCACAGCGCUGUUCAUUGAAAUACAUUAGUAAAACAGACAGAGGGAUGGACGAAUGAAUGACCUUUCCUGUUGCAUCUCCGUGGAAACGUGUCGGCAGGGCGCUGCGUCAUCGAGAACUAACGUCUAAAAAGAAAUAACCCAUCAUCCUGAAUUCGAUGGUGGCUUUCCAGCCUUCGCAGAAUCGACUACUCCCGAUGAGACAGCGGGCCUUGAUGACAGUCCAGUUUGUAUGAGCUCACACAGGCUCGCAUCUCCCUCGACACAUGCUUGACAGACUGUUUCAAUGAGGGAGCCCGUGGCUGGCUCUGCUCAUACUUGAAGCCCACACGUCCUCCACAUCAGGGAGCGCAAUGCUUUCUUUACUGGGCAGUGCCUUUCCUCGCACUGGUUUUAUGAAGUGUCCAAAACGACAGCCAUUUUUCCAUAGUUAAUGUAUGAAAGGGUUAAUGACACUGUGAGCGUGGGGCCGGUGAAUAGCGGACCUCGGAUGGGCAUUAAGAAAAAAUGAUUAAAAACAUGCUUUUAAAACCCUGGUUAAUUAAACGAAUGUUACAAUACAUUAAAUACAAACCAAAUACAUAUUGUGCUGACGGGGCUCUGAACUGUUACUGUUUUGACUAGCUAACCCCGCUUACCUGCCUCGCAUGCCCGUCGCAUUAGAGAACGGUCGUUAUUCGUUUGGAAACGGUGAAUUAUGCAAUCGUGUCGUUCGUACCUGAUUUAUUGAAAUAAUGGAAGCUGUGUGUGUGUGUUACCUGCCCUGAGCACACAGAAACGGAGUAACUAACGGCGCUGUCUAGUUUAUUCAAACUCCUCCUUCCUGUUAUUUAGCAGCGGCACCAAACAGCUCAGUACAAACCUGUCAGCGCGUUUGAAAUACGCAUUAAAACCAAACAAAGCUCUUGAGAUAGAGAGACGCUGUGAGCAGGAACGGGCAGAGAGACGCACGGGACCGAUAUGGAGGCGCUGUCAGGACCGUGUAACCAUUCCAAACAGCUUUGUUUCAAUGCAGUCCGAAAAGAAGGAGAAUAAAUUCGAAAAACAAGUUCGCAAACAGCGAAGAAACUCCCACAAUAUGCUGUAAAAAAAAAAAAAAAAAAAAAAAAAGAUUUGUGGAAGACGAUUUGUUUGUGCAGAUCACUGAAAUUCGAUUUUAUUUUCUCCAGUACUUUUAAAAGUUUAUAUAAGAAGAAAAAGGACGGCUCUUUUUGAGCGCAUAUUUUAAAAGUUUGCACGCGUUGGCUUUUUAUUGAUGUAUUUGCCUGAACUCUGACAGAGGAGACGCGUGUGUAUUUUGCAUGUAAGGACUUUUUAAUCAUGCCAAAAAAACAAAGACUACAAACAAACACAAACGCACCGCUCUAUACGCGUGUUUACUGCCACCUCCACUAAAGGGUAUUUUCUCCACUAUCCUCGCCGAUCCUGUGUGUGGAUGCUACAGGAAAAGGGCUACAGUAAAGACGAGGAGAGCUGUCUAAAACCUGCUGCUGGUCUGGACAGUGUUUGUUUGCAUAUGCAAUGCCACUUAUCAAAGUCGCUGCAAACAUCGAACCUUAAACACUCUUGACCGAUGUGAGCGCUCUCUCCCCCUGCUGCCGCGCUGUGAUUCGGAGGUGCCGGUCAUGGUGUUGGAGUGGUGUGGCGUGCUGAGGGGGCUCCUCUCCCAGGAUCCCGGGCAGGUUAUGGGCGUGGUGGAGGCGCUGGUGUGGGAGCUGCACCAGGACAAGGAGGGACUGAUAGAAAGUAUGCUGCGAGACCCCAGCAGCCAGGACUACAUGCGGGCUCUGUGCUGCUUACUGACGUCCACAGAAACACGGCUGUGCAGCAACGUGGCCUACAUCCUGGGCUCCAUUGCGGAGAGCGAGACUGGGACCCAGCAGCUGGUGUCACUGGGAGGGGCCGGGGACCUGCUGGGAACGCUGACCGCACUGCUGAGCUGGGACGAUGCCGAGGCGGUGAUGAACGCAGCUGGCACCAUCGGCACCCUGGCGGAGAGCAGCGAGGGGCGGCGGUGGAUCCUGGGGGAGCGUGGCUUCGUGGAGAUGGUAGACAGCGUGACCGCCCUGCUGGACGCGAGGAGCGAGUGGACGGUCAGCAACGCCGCCCUGGUGCUGGCUCGCCUCUCGAUGUGCGAGUCGGGGUGCCGCAGGCUCCUGGAGCACCCCAGCUCCUCCAGGAUAAUCUCCAAGCUCAUCGGCUCGCUCAGUGGGGACGAGGCAGGGUGUGGGAUGAACGCUGCCUUCGCUCUGGGCCGGCUGUGCGACACGGACUCUGGGCUCCAGCGGAUACUCAGCAUGGCAGAGGCCCCGGGCAUGGUUGUCUCUCUGGGAGCCAUGCUGGCUCAGCCUGACACUGGAGGCAGUAAGAACGCCUGCUUCGCUCUGAGUUGCCUGGCAACGGAAGCGGAAGGCCACGCCCACGUCCUGCAGAGCCCUGCCUUCCCCCAGCUGCUGAACUCGCUCUACCGCCUCCUGCAGGCGGAGGACCAAGACAGCGCCUGGUUUGCUGCAAUGACAGUGAAGGUUCUGGCUUCCCAGCCCAGCGGAGUCCUGAAUCUGAGAGAGCACAGGAAACUAGAGGAGCUCUUAAAGUCUCUGGUGUGCUCCAAGACAGCAGGGAAGGAGCUGCUGGAGGAAGUGAGCCUCACUCUGACCAAGCUGCAGCGCCUCCCCAAACCCCUUCCCCCGCGGACGGAGCGCCUGGAUUCGGGUUCUGUCCUGGUCUCCUGGGAGACAUGCACCCCCGGGAGCGGCCUGGAGGUCACCUACAGUCUCUUCGACGGAUCCUGCCUGUUGUACUCGGGGCUCCAGUCUUGCUUCACCCUGACGGAGAUCCCACCUGGUCAGGCGUUCCUCUUCAGGCUCCGCCUCUCCACGCUGGGGGGCGACACCAGCCCCUACAGUGAAGCCGUCCGAUGGGCUGUGCAGAAGGAGGCAUCUCUGCCCGGCAGUCCUCAGGAUCUGCGUGUGAUUGGCUGCACCCAGACGCAGGUGAAGCUGAGCUGGGCUCCCCCGGCCGAUCCGCAGGGUCCCCUGAAGGGUUACCAGCUCUUCAGGGGAGAGACCCCACUGGACACCACCACGGAGCUCAGCUGCAUCGCGGGCGGACUCUCCCCCUCCUCCCUGUACGAGUUUGGGGUGUGUGCCCUGGGGUCCACGGGGAGGGGUGCCAUGGCACGGGUCGAGGUCAGGACAGCAGACCCAGGGGACCACGCGCCCAGCAAGCUGGCGGUCACCGUCCUGGGGCGCCACGAGAUUUCCGUGAGCUGGGAUAUCCCCGAGGUGCCGCUGGGCCGGCUGUUUAACUUUGAGCUGUGCAUCAACGGGAGAGUGGUGUACCUGGGCACGGAGAGGAGCUACACCGCACGCAGGCUGGCAGCCAACACCGAGUACACCUGCACCGUCAGUGUCAUCACCAGCGAGGGGCGCUGUGAGAGCCGGCCGGUCACCAAGAGGACCGCCAGGGACGAGUACGAGAACACCGCCAAGUGCCUCUACUCUCCAGCGCGAGCCAGCCAGCAGCAGCAGCCCCCUCUCGCCCCCCCAACGAAGGAGCUCCCGGACUGCAGGACCGAACCAAAAAGCCCCGAGGCACGGGAGCCCCCCACAAGGAGCCCCCCAGAGCUCCAAAAGCACACCUGGCCCUGAGUAAGGGGUGCUGCAAAGUGUGGGACAGCGACAGCACCGGGGGGGUCGGGGCCAGGCACAGGAGACCCUCGACUCGGUCACAGCGCAAAGAUGGGAGUGAAUCAUCCGCUCAGUCUGUGGAGG
Acipenser ruthenus (sterlet) is the source of this 3940-nucleotide RNA transcript. It is a transcript of the gene named usherin-like, with no coding region annotated. Lineage: Eukaryota; Metazoa; Chordata; Actinopteri; Acipenseriformes; Acipenseridae. The record is from RefSeq and is a predicted model, not a curated record. The transcript has 10 exons.